Molecule: long non-coding RNA, 645 nt
Organism: Gasterosteus aculeatus aculeatus (three-spined stickleback)
Lineage: Eukaryota; Metazoa; Chordata; Actinopteri; Perciformes; Gasterosteidae
Source: Ensembl
CAGCCCUGCACACAGGGGAGAGAAGAGGGGAUUAAAGCGGUGAGGAUUGCAGCUGCACAGACAGAAAGAGAGCAGAGGGAGGGAGACGGGCUUACAGAUAAAAAAGGGACAGACUGGAAACCAAUAAUGCGGCGCUGAUUUAAAAGGAUGCCGAUGCCGCCAGAUCUUGGGACGCGGAAGGAGGAAAGGAAAUGCUGGAGACUAGGGAGCAACUUGCUUCAGUCCUCGUUGUGGUUCAGCCUGCAGAGACACCAACUCUGUUGCCUGCCUGCUACCCCCUCCAGCAUGUCAGUGCUGAGCCCUCACUGUGGAGCAGCGGCGUUGAAAGUGCUGGAAACUGGCCUCACUCGCCCGUCGGACGCAAGACAGUUGAGAAGUGGAGGGACGACGUCCAAAGCACACAAGUGGGGCAAAUGAAAGCCAUUUGUUUUAGAAAAUAAGUCUUCAUUAUGUCAACCCAUAAUAAAGUCAUAAAACAACCAAACUUUAUGAAUGUUUUUUGUGACAAAGUAUCUGUUCCAAUCACUCGAUCAGAGAAAAAUAAGAGUUGUAGAAAUAACCGGAAACUCAAGAGAGCUGUCAUGAACCGGGUAUCCUCCUCUUUUCCUCUCCAACCCUUUCUUCACUUACACACACUAAUUACGC